CGAAGCCCCGGUAAACGGCGGCCGUAACUAUAACGGUCCUAAGGUAGCGAAAUUCCUUGUCGGGUAAGUUCCGACCUGCACGAAUGGCGUAACGAUGGCGGCGCUGUCUCCACCCGAGACUCAGUGAAAUUGAAAUCGCUGUGAAGAUGCAGUGUAUCCGCGGCUAGACGGAAAGACCCCGUGAACCUUUACUGUAGCUUUGCACUGGACUUUGAGCCUGCUUGUGUAGGAUAGGUGGGAGGCUUUGAAGCGUGGACGCCAGUUCGCGUGGAGCCAUCCUUGAAAUACCACCCUGGCAUGCUUGAGGUUCUAACUCUGGUCCGUGAUCCGGAUCGAGGACAGUGUAUGGUGGGCAGUUUGACUGGGGCGGUCUCCUCCUAAAGAGUAACGGAGGAGUACGAAGGUGCGCUCAGACCGGUCGGAAAUCGGUCGCAGAGUAUAAAGGCAAAAGCGCGCUUGACUGCGAGACAGACACGUCGAGCAGGUACGAAAGUAGGUCUUAGUGAUCCGGUGGUUCUGUAUGGAAGGGCCAUCGCUCAACGGAUAAAAGGUACUCCGGGGAUAACAGGCUGAUACCGCCCAAGAGUUCAUAUCGACGGCGGUGUUUGGCACCUCGAUGUCGGCUCAUCACAUCCUGGGGCUGAAGCCGGUCCCAAGGGUAUGGCUGUUCGCCAUUUAAAGUGGUACGCGAGCUGGGUUUAGAACGUCGUGAGACAGUUCGGUCCCUAUCUGCCGUGGACGUUUGAGAUUUGAGAGGGGCUGCUCCUAGUACGAGAGGACCGGAGUGGACGAACCUCUGGUGUUCCGGUUGUCACGCCAGUGGCAUUGCCGGGUAGCUAUGUUCGGAAAAGAUAACCGCUGAAAGCAUCUAAGCGGGAAACUUGCCUCAAGAUGAGAUCUCACUGGGAACUUGAUUCCCCUGAAGGGCCGUCGAAGACUACGACGUUGAUAGGCUGGGUGUGUAAGCGUUGUGAGGCGUUGAGCUAACCAGUACUAAUUGCCCGUGAGGCUUGACCAUAUAACACCCAAACA
This 1032-nucleotide ribosomal RNA is filed under the name Pseudomonas aeruginosa. RNAcentral's name for it is "partial 23S ribosomal RNA". It matches the Rfam family "Bacterial large subunit ribosomal RNA", at positions 1913 to 2925 of the family's 2925-position model. The record is from RNAcentral. Lineage: Bacteria; Pseudomonadati; Pseudomonadota; Gammaproteobacteria; Pseudomonadales; Pseudomonadaceae.